This is a long non-coding RNA of Oxyura jamaicensis (ruddy duck), 1530 nucleotides long. RefSeq lists it as uncharacterized. NCBI's taxonomy places the organism in Eukaryota, Metazoa, Chordata, Aves, Anseriformes, Anatidae. The transcript is spliced from 2 exons. The record is from RefSeq and is a predicted model, not a curated record.
GGCCACAAGCUCAAGAUCAGGGGCUGGGCGCUGGGAGCUUCCCUUGGCUUGUGAGAGGCCCUUGGGGCUGUGGGAGCCCAUGGCAGAUGGCAGACACUGCUGCAGCCCUCAGGUUGCUCCAGUUAGCACAGGGGUUGAAACCCAUGCAGUGAAACACUUCAUGCUCUAGGAGCUGAAGUGCUAAAUGCAGUCCAUUUGGGAGCACAAGGCCAAGUAAAGCAUUAACGCUGGAGUUAAGACAAAUUCAGGAAUAACUAAUAUUGUUGACUUUGCUUGCACAAAAUGUCACUUUCUUUGAGCUUUUAUUCUCUCCCCUAAGAGCAAGUUUAAGGGCAAACAGAAAUAUUAGUCAUCUUUCUCCUAUUAAUUAUUGUUAAAGAUUUAAGGGAUCAUAGACUUUGAAGUUAAUGCCCCAUUCAAUGUGGGAAAAGGCAAAACUGUGCAUCCCCAGUGGUGUUGUUCUUUCUGGCUGGCUGGUUGAUCACAGACCAGCUGUCCUGCCGUGUGACAUCAGAGCACGCUGCUCUGCUUACCGGCAGUCAUUGCAGGAUGCAGCAGGCUUCAGGGGAAGAGAGGAGUGCACGAACAUAUGUGUGCAUUGCACUUGCGUGCGCACACUCCUGAACACAGCGGUGAAUGAAUGUGCCAGUGGACCUGCUUCUUACAUCCUGGUAACUUCUGAAAUCCUGGAUUAACUUUGAAAUAAAAGUUUUGGUGUCCUCUGAACAUGGGCAGCUUCAAUGGCCUGCUCUUCUCCAAAAGCAACUGUCUCCAAAUGGUACUGUGGGGCUGCUGGAUGCACAUUUCUCAGUUCCAGAUCUGAUUCGUUUGCUCUACAAAAGCGAAGAUGUAUUUGUUGACCCUCUGUGCUCUUACUUGGAUCAAGAUAGGCAGUAUUCUUCCUCUCUUAGGAAUCUGAUCUGUUGCCUGCAUGACUGCCCUUCUUCGGCCUUACACAGAAAUUAAAAAGGACGGAGUUUGGUCUGCUGUUUAGGGCUAUUACAGGGGAUGCGAAUAGGCAAAAAGGAACCAAACCUGCCAGUAAGAUCUUAGGAAGGUUUUAAGAGUAGAACCGUUUUUGUGAACUUACGUUCUGUAGACAGUAUUGAAUAUUCACUAUACAACCAUGGAAAGACAGACAACUUGCCUAAAGGUUUCAUUUGCCCCAGAAUGUAAUUUUGGAGCAAUCAAAGCCAACUGUUAAUUUGAAUAACAUCUGAUAAAUGGUUGUGGCUAUAAGCGUUGAAGUAUGUCACAUCAUAUCUGUAUAGCUAUACACGUAUUUAAAUAAAGUGCAUUGCACUUCCCAAAGCAUUUCAUUUUGGGGCAUUUGUAAUGUAGACCUGGGCACUUCUUCUGCAGGGAUAGUUCAAGCUUAAAAUCUCCAAUUUAUGACUUGACAUAAUAUUUUUCAGUUCUGUCUGGAGAAAAGGGAAGACAAUAUUUUGGAAGAGUGAUGUCCUUAUUUGUUUUUUAAGCUUAGGCUAUUUUUGUGAAAGGGUUAAAUAACCAUAAACAUUUUUGUAUCAA